AGAGUUUGAUCAUGGCUCAGGAUGAACGCUAGCUACAGGCUUAACGCAUGCAAGUCGAGGGGCAGCAUUGGAGUAGCAAUACUCAGAUGGCGACCGGCGCACGGGUGAGUAACACGUAUCCAACCUGCCGCUUACUCGGGGAUAGCCUUUCGAAAGAAAGAUUAAUACCCGAUGGUAUAAAGAGUUCGCAUGUUCUCUUUAUUAAAGAAUUUCGGUAAGCGAUGGGGAUGCGUUCCAUUAGAUAGUUGGCGGGGUAACGGCCCACCAAGUCUACGAUGGAUAGGGGUUCUGAGAGGAAGGUCCCCCACAUUGGAACUGAGACACGGUCCAAACUCCUACGGGAGGCAGCAGUGAGGAAUAUUGGUCAAUGGACGAGAGUCUGAACCAGCCAAAGUAGCGUGAAGGAUGACUGCCCUAUGGGUUGUAAACUUCUUUUAUAAGGGAAUAAAGUGAGGGACGUGUCCCUUUUUGUAUGUACCUUAUGAAUAAGGAUCGGCUAACUCCGUGCCAGCCGCCGC
This 518-nucleotide ribosomal RNA is filed under the name uncultured bacterium. RNAcentral describes it as "bacterial SSU rRNA". It matches the Rfam family "Bacterial small subunit ribosomal RNA", at positions 8 to 518 of the family's 1533-position model. The record is from RNAcentral.